This 440-nucleotide ribosomal RNA is filed under the name uncultured bacterium. RNAcentral describes it as "partial 16S ribosomal RNA". It matches the Rfam family "Bacterial small subunit ribosomal RNA", at positions 338 to 795 of the family's 1533-position model. The record is from RNAcentral.
CCUACGGGAGACAGCAGUGGGGAAUAUUGCACAAUGGGGGAAACCCUGAUGCAGCGACGCCGCGUGAGUGAAGAAGUAUUUCGGUACGUAAAGCUCUAUCAGCAGGGAAGAAAAUGACGGUACCUGACUAAGAAGCCCCGGCUAACUACGUGCCAGCAGCCGCGGUAAUACGUAGGGGGCAAGCGUUAUCCGGAUUUACUGGGUGUAAAGGGAGCGUAGACGGCAGCGCAAGUCUGGAGUGAAAUCCCAUGGCUUAACCAUGGAACUGCUUUGGAAACUGUGCAGCUAGAGUGCAGGAGAGGUAAGCGGAAUUCCUAGUGUAGCGGUGAAAUGCGUAGAUAGUAGGAGGAACACCAGUGGCGAAGGCGGCUUACUGGACUGUAACUGACGUUGAGGCUCGAAAGCGUGGGGAGCAAACAGGAUUAGAUACCCUUGUAGUC